CCAAUUCGCGGAGAUGGCGUUCUCCCUUAACCGCCUACCAGGGCUGAUGACGCCUGCUUCAUG
RNAcentral lists this non-coding RNA (63 nucleotides) under Deltaproteobacteria bacterium. RNAcentral's name for it is "Fluoride sequence". It matches the Rfam family "Fluoride riboswitch aptamer (crcB RNA motif)". Lineage: Bacteria; Pseudomonadati; Myxococcota; Myxococcia. The record is from RNAcentral.